This 484-nucleotide ribosomal RNA is filed under the name uncultured bacterium. Its description in RNAcentral is "partial 16S ribosomal RNA". It matches the Rfam family "Bacterial small subunit ribosomal RNA", at positions 29 to 507 of the family's 1533-position model. The record is from RNAcentral.
AUUGAACGCUGGCGGCAUGCUUUACACAUGCAAGUCGAACGGCAGCGCGGGCUUCGGCCUGGCGGCGAGUGGCGAACGGGUGAGUAAUACAUCGGAACGUGCCCAGUAGUGGGGGAUAGCUCGGCGAAAGCCGGAUUAAUACCGCAUACGACCUGGGGGUGAAAGCGGGGGAUCUUCGGACCUCGCGCAAUUGGAGCGGCCGAUGGCAGAUUUGCUAGUUGGUGGGGUAAAGGCCUACCAAGGCGACGAUCUGUAGCUGGUCUGAGAGGACGACCAGCCACACUGGGACUGAGACACGGCCCAGACUCCUACGGGAGGCAGCAGUGGGGAAUUUUGGACAAUGGGCGAAAGCCUGAUCCAGCAAUGCCGCGUGUGUGAUGAAGGCCUUCGGGUUGUAAAGCACUUUUGGCGGGAACGAAAAGGACUGUGCCAAUACCACGGUUCGAUGACGGUACCCGCAGAAUAAGCACCGGCUAACUACGUG